GGGUGUGUGUGAGAGAGAGUGAGAACCUGCAGUGGGACCUGCUCAUGCCGCAGUUCCUCUCCUCCGUUCCUCCACCCCUUUGGGAUUUUGAGGCCACAUGCACAUGUACCCAGUGUGCUUUUCCAUCUGCCCGGGCAGGAGUAGAUCCACAGUCAGCCAUGUGGGAUCUGGGUAUUUUCCCUUGGCUGGGAGACCUUAUCCUUGGUGUCAGGAAGGAACGGAUGACCACGUCUGAGCCCCACACUGUACCCCUUGGCCAUGUUUUACUUUCCCGUGUGGCUCACCUAUGCGUUUGCCAGGAAGCCUGCUUCACUGGUCUGUCAGACCCGAAUCCAGCUCCUCUGCAGUCCCUUCCCUCUCUGCCCUCCUUCCCCAUCUCACACACGUGACCCUGUCUCAAUGCUGCUUCCACAGACUCAGGACGGCACAUUGUCAAGGGGCUGUGGCCUCUCCAGAGCAGUCGGAGACAGCAGAUUCUGCUGGACGGUAGUCACAGCGGGGACCGUGAUGACGACGAUGAGGAUGGUGUCAUCGCCAGACCAGAUGAGAAGUAGGGUAACAGCCGCAGCUACUUCAGUGGGUGGCCACAAAAUGAGAUGAGCUACGCAAAACCACGAGCACAGUGCCUCGUACUUUACUCAGCAGGAGCCAGCCUUGUGAAGGGCAGGGUAAGUACUCUCAGUUCUGUGGCUGCGGGGUUUCUGUUGUGACUACUCAGUUCUGCCAUUGAAGCAGCCGCGGCAGUAAACAGAUGUGUGCAGCACAAAAACUCGAUUUAGAGAACAGUUGGUGGUCUGGAUCUGCCCACAGGCAGUGGUGUGGAACCCUGCCGUAAAUGCUUGCCAAAUCUUUUACUAAUAUAAUAGUGUUAUGUAAUCUUUAUUAACUGGCAAAUAAUCAAUUUUUAAUCAAGAACUAAAUAUACACACCUGCCAUUUUUCAAACGAUUUUGCUUGUAAGAGCAAUGAAAAAAAAAAGUCUUUCUGUAAAUGGUGGCGCCACAUCCGCGAAUAUUACAGGAAACGUUCCCACUGUCACAAACGGUCACCACAUUGCUCUAGGCCCUUGCAAGAAAAAUCCAGGCCCCAGGUCACAGAGGCAUUGGGGGAAUGGGUUAGAAAUUUGCUGAAAUCCUCAAACCUCUGUCCUUUACCCUGUCUUCAAAGUGCCUUCUGGGCUCAUGGGCCAACUUAGCUCCCAAAACACAGUUCCUGGGAAGGGCUGCUCCAGGGAGUGUUCCGGGCCAGAUGUUUAUCUGCCGUGUUUGCUCAGUGACUGCCGACAUUGAAUGGCUGUUUUCGAUUCUAAGAACAUGUUUGUCUCUCCUACAAACGGAAUGUUUCCUUCUAUCAGAUGAUGAAGAUUACACAUUGUGUAGCUUUUUGCUGUGGUUAUCUGUAAGUUUAGGCUCGGUCAUGAUAUGGUUUUCACUUAGAAGAUAUAUUUUUCUUCCUCAAUUCUUAUUUUUCCAAGGUUUUAACGGUUAUCUUAAAUGUUAUUGCAUAUUUAGGUUUCAUUAAAAAGGCCUGCAACUGCUUUUUAGAUCUAGCUGAAAUACAAACCAAAAGUUACAAAUAAAAUUAAUCAGAUCUUAUUUGCAAUCAGCUUGUUUUCUACGUAAAAUUCCUUCAAAAGAAGCAUCUAUGUGAUUAGAACGGAAUUAAACUAUUAAUAAGUGCUUUAUCAAUAAUGGAGGUUUUUGUAGAUAUGUAUAUUAUGGAGCAAGGUUGUGAUCUUCAGUUCUAGAGUCCAAAACAGUUGGGUUUCAAUCCCAGCUCCAAGGCUAGCCGUGAGAUCCCGGUCCGGUCACCCGUGUGCUCUGAAUCCGUCCCAUCACUUGUAGAGUGGAUAUAAUGGCUACACUCCUGUCAUGCAGUCGUGUGGAAUUGAAUGAAAUCUAACACGAAGUGUGCAGGCAGCCCAAUGCCCAGUCCAUGCCAAGUGCUCCAUUUAUGAGCAUAUAUAUUAGCUACAUAGUACCACAUGCUUAUUUGAAUUUUUCUAGCAGUGCUUCUGUCAGAGCAGUGCUCAGCUUCCAGUAUGAGGCCCUAAAAGUUGGUCCAAGUGUCACCCUGUUUUCUAAAUCUGUCCUCUCUGUCAUUUCUCCCUCUGCUAUUACUGAGUGAUUCGCCAAGCAAGUGGAGCAUGCUGACGUCUGAGCAUUUUGUGACUGAACAGAGUCUGGGUAGAAAGGCCACCAAGAACAUUGCUCGGGAGUUUUAAAUAUUUGCCCCCAAUGUAAAUGGUCUGGUCAUUGAAACCAUGGGACUUGCUUUUCAUCCCGUAUGACUGUGUAAUUUUCUUCUUUUGGCCAGGGGGUGCACAUAUGUGGACAUGCAUGGCCGUGCAUAUGAGACAGAGACCAUGAGAGAGAAAGCACUCCCUCACAGGGUCUGGUCACGCCACAAGCCUGUUGCCCAGUUCUCUAUCCCAUUAAGACCCUGGGCAUCUACGUGUGCUUGGUUCGUAUUUCUAACCACCAGGUCCAGGAUACUAACUCUGGU
This is a long non-coding RNA of Tupaia belangeri chinensis (Chinese tree shrew), 2504 nucleotides long. RefSeq lists it as uncharacterized. The transcript is spliced from 3 exons. The record is from RefSeq and is a predicted model, not a curated record. NCBI's taxonomy places the organism in Eukaryota, Metazoa, Chordata, Mammalia, Scandentia, Tupaiidae.